AUGAGACUCAGCAAGCCAAGCAGUGAGACACAUCCCAGCCCUAACCAGCUCUCGGGUCUCCCAUCUCCCUGCCGGAUAUCUACUGGUCGCUUCUCCCCCCAAGCCCUUCAUCCGUUCCCUUUGUCUGCAGGCGGGCUGGUGGCUGUCCCCCCCCGCCCGGAACGUGCAGUCCCGAUCCGCGCCGCUGAGCGGCACCGUCCCUCCAGGCACACGGAGAGCAGCCACACGACUCCCCGCGGUCACCCCCCGGGCAGGUGGCCCCGCAGAACCACCUCACCCCAUAGGGGGGAUCAAAAGGUCCAGCCCUCAGCAUCAACGGUGUCUGCACCCCAGCACGGGCAAGGCUUGACUGGUAACCCGAAGCGCUGCUACAUCACCUGGGUUGCAUCAAGCAGAGCGAAGUGCUGGAGAGCUGCUCAUGAAUUGCAGCAUUUGGACUUGAAGCUUCUGCUCUGUGGGAAGACACCAGGCCAUCUGUGUGUGAAGCAUGAACAUUAUGGACAAAAGACCAUUAAGAGUGGGUACGGGCCCAAGUUAUGUCUACAAAAAUGGUGCAGAUACUUGAACAAUUGCUCUUCCCCUAAUCCAGAGUGAAAGAAUGAGUGCUCCUCGUGAUUUUACCAUCUCAUUAAUGUGUAUGUAUGCAUUCAUCGCCCUGGAGUAGACUUGUACUGAUGAGACUGGGCAGAAUGAGUAAGUGGCCAUCUUCACUUGUCCAUGCAGACAAAUCCUCCUCCAGCAUCCUUUCAUUCUCACGAGCGCCAAAUUUUCUUUAAGCCCUGCAAGCCACACUCAUGAAAGGUGGGCUGAAUGCACCCUAACCACGAGCAUCACCCUGUAAUCAGAACAGCAUGUGUCACUGUUUUUUCUCUUUCUCUGCUCUGCAGGUUUUGCAAUAGCAGUGUUUUGAGUAGAUCUUUGGAGCAUCAGACAAGUUGAUGGGAAGGACAUAAAUGGUGAAGAAAGUGUGGUUAAUCUCAUUGUUCUUUGGAUCUUUCUGUUCUUCCUUCCACUUCUCCUUCCAUCACUCAGAUGGGAAAAAUAUUAGUGAUCUGGAGGCAGCUGCAGCCACAGGAGUGCCUAUCUUCUAUUUCAUCCCUACAGAGUUCCCUAAUGAACCUUGGAUUUAUCAGAGCUCUUUGCUGCCUUUACUCCAUUAAAAAGCUGUCAUCUGCCAACAGAAUGAGAGAGAACCUGCACUUCAGACUUCUAAAGCAAACGACUAGCUGAUUCUGAUGGGCUAUAAGCACACAGAAGCAAAGUACUAGGAAGGCUGUGAGAGGUGGUGAGACACGAAACCAGCAGCCUGCCUUUGCUAGAGAGGAAGGUUGACACCCAUAGGGCUAGACAAGUCUUAUCCCAGUAAUCACAUACAGCCGUGUUUGCUCAACAUAGUGCAAUAAAAACAUGCAAAAGCAAGCCUUGGAGCCUGCCACAGAGAUAUCGAUGAGCAGACACUUGAAAAUGCUGGGUGCUUGUUAAUGUUUAACGAGCGAGUCCUCAUCUGACUUCAUGGCAUUGAGCUUUAUUUAUCUAAUCCAUAAAUUCACUAAGGAAAAAGAACGCUCCCUAUUAGCCUAUGAUAAAUAAAUAAAGGGGAAGACCUGGAAGAGUCUUACUGAAUUUAUUCUGUUUAAUAAUAAAGGGGCCUGUUCUACACAGCCUUCCAUUUAUGAGAUGAAGCAAUAUUUCACAGUGAUUUAAGCAAAUCCUCUUACUUUAAAUACGAUGGUGAAAGAGGUGAAUUUUUUCUGUCCUGGGGUUUGCAACUGGAUUUGAGAACUAACUUCACGGUACUGCUUCUGCCAGACUCAUUUAUGAUGGAAGCUGGGAACAAGUGGGAAGACAUCAUUUUGAGCCAGCGUGAGUUUAAUUUUAGACCAGGACUUACAGUUCAAAUGUAAGGCCAAAUCAUGCCUUAAUGGAAUAUUUGUAUGGGAAAUUUGUAGCUUUUCUAGCUACUUUUUAAUAACCAAGUACCUGUUCUAAUCAGUGGAAAAUACAGAUUUAUCCCUUCUCCUGAAAAUAAUUUCUGCAGAAUUCUAUUACUUUUUCUUCCAAUUUAGGCAGCAUGGCAUAUAUAUUGUCCAUGUGAGAUGACACUGUUAUCCCGACUGACCAAGGGGUUUCUUCCAAACCAAAUUAGAAAACAGAGUUUCAACCAAGUCUACUGGAGUCGGAUCCAAAAUACUGUAUCCAGGUCUGAAAUCUCCCAUGGGUUCAGAUUUUAGAAUCUGUUCGAAGUCUGACUUUUACAGCCCAGCUCAGCCAAGUUGAGUGUCAUAGCUGUUUGAAGCCAAGUUUCAUAAAACCCAUGUCAAAAGCUGGUGAGAAGGACACCAGCUUCCCACAAAUGGUCCUCUUUGGAAGUAGUCUGUGCUAUAAGAUGGUCCUCUGGAAGCAGGAUGAAUAAGCCUCAUCCCAGACAGUGGGAGGAUUCCCCAUUCCUGAUAUCUGCCUUAACAGGGGUUUAUAAAAGCCAUUGCACUUAAUGAAGAUGGGGCUGCUAUUUUUAGGCUACUGCUCUAAGAAUUUGACUGGGUUUGUUUAAUGCUGAACAGUCAUUUCCUUUAACAGUCUGUGCAUGGUUUUACAAUCUGACUGCCCAUCCGUACCUCAGCUAACAGUUCUGUUUUCGGGUUCAGACUUUCAUCUUUUCUAGUUGCCAUGGUGAUAGUGAUACAAACACCUCCAAAGGAUGAGCUACUUCCCUUGGAAGGGGAACGUCUUACUGUAUGCGCAGGGACUGUAGAAAUCUUUAAUGUAAUCCUGACCACAUGGUAAGCUAGUUUGGUGGGUUCUGAAGCAGAAAACGCCAUCUGGGGCCAAGGUCACAUCAACUCCAUCAAGGGAACAUUUUAUUUUAUUUUCUUCCAUUCUGAAGAUCACGUUUUGUCUCUCACUGAGGCCAAAUCAGCAGUAUUACUUAUGAAGAGUAUUUUGCAAUCUAAACAGCUAUUUAUAGAGUAAGUAAGUGGGAUAUUUGCUGCCAAAAUAAGUUUCUCCUCAGAUUCAGAUCUAAACCACAUUGACUAUAUGUUUUCAGAAAUGCUUUCCAGCCCUUUAUUCUCCUGCUCAUUCCGUUUUCCACACAGGAGGAUAAGCAAAACAUCUCAGCCCCUCUAGAGAGGACAGAUAGCUGUCAGCACAGAUUGUGAAUGCAGUUCCACACCUGAUGUGAAACUAAGGGAGACUGUGUUCAUUUGUUCAAAGUGUAUGUAGAUGAUUGCCAGAGCCCAAAGAGAGCCCUGUUGUGGCUGAAUGCUACCUGACCCAUGCUCAGACUGCUUGAACUCUUUAACAGCAGGUAAACACAUAAAAUAAAACGCUGGUCUCCAAAGCAGCUAUAAAAUGAUGAAAAAAGAUCUUGCCAUGUCCCUGGAUGAGAAUAGCAUGCCAGUAUGCUGGAUCACAUGGAGCAACCUUCUCACCCAUGGAGUAUGCAGAGUUAAAAAAUCUCAAACUCUGCUUAGGUGUGGGGUUCUUCUGCUGCAUUUGUAUUAUUUUCCUCUGGAAGGGAAUAGUUAGACUAUAGGUGUACCUGGAAAAAAAUAUGUUUCCUGGAAAUAAAUAUUCAGGAUGGAGUCAAAAGAAAAAUCCUUGCAAUAUGAGUCAGGCAGCCUUCUCCAUUGUAAUUUAGAGUCAAACCAAGGAUGCCAUGACUUAUUCAGCAUCAAAGUGCUAAAGCUGUGUGCUUUCAAAUGCCUCCAGCUGCAGCCUCACCUCCUCCCAUUGGGUCCCUGCCCUAUAUUCUAGCACUGCAACUGGUGAUGGAAGAGUCUGAAGGCAAACAGAAGGAGCACUGUUAUUAGCAUUCAGAAAAUGUAAGAAUAAACUUUGCUCCCUGAGGGAAUGGCUUGAGUGACACAAUGGAAAAAAGCCUGGAGGCAUGUCUUCUUGUACCCUCUGUCUCCACUGCCAGUGUUAAGGCCCUCAUGCUUCCUGUAUUGGGGAACUAAGCCCUCUCUGCACAUUGCACAUAAAGGGCAUGUCUUGGUAAGAUACUCCUGAACAGAUCUUUCUUAACCAUGAAUAUGUACCAAGUCCAUCUGGUGCUGUUCAGUUACAUGGAAUUAAGCUCACCCUGUGCCCAGUUAUGCAGCAGAUAUUCUCAAUUACAUUUGUAGUUCUGAAAUUUAUAAUUCUAAACAGACAAAAAAAAUCUAAUAAGUGAAAUAUUUAUUUGAUGUGAGCUUCAAGAAACAACAAAAAAAAACACUUUGAAACAACAUUUUUGGAUAUAUACACGAAGAAAUGUAGACUGCAUAUUGCUACUAUAUUUACGAUCUGUAUUAAUUCAGGACAAACAUGUAAGACACGAAUGAAAAGGAAAGGUAUAAGCCUAUGAUAAGCAGAAUGACUGCAAAUGCUACUCAAAGGUUUAGAGUAUUUUGAAAGUAACUCUAAAGGUAGCCACAGGAAGAUUUCAGGUUAGCACUGAAG
Molecule: long non-coding RNA, 4443 nt
Filed under: Meleagris gallopavo (turkey)
Lineage: Eukaryota; Metazoa; Chordata; Aves; Galliformes; Phasianidae
Description: lncRNA (ENSMGAG00000018758.1)
Source: RNAcentral